AAUCUGUAUCUAAUAUGCAACAUAAUUAUCUUAGAAUUGAUGACAUAAUGCAACUAGCACAAUCUAAUAAUCACCACCACCAGUAGAGAGAGAAGUAGUGCCCGUACCGCAAACCGACACAGGUAGAUGAGGAGAGAAUCCUAAGGCCGGCGGAAGAAUUGCAGUUAAGGAACUAGGCAAAUUGACCCCGUAAGUUAGCGAGAAGGGGUGCCUGCGAGAGCAGGCCGCAGAGAAUAGGCCCAAGCAACUGUUUAGCAAAAACACAGGUCUCUGCUAAAGCGCAAGCUGAUGUAUAGGGGCUGACGCCUGCCCGGUGCUGGAAGGUUAAGGGGAACACUUAGCGCAAGCGAAGGUGUGAACUUAAGCCCCAGUAAACGGCGGCCGUAACUAUAACGGUCCUAAGGUAGCGAAAUUCCUUGUCAGGUAAGUUCUGACCCGCACGAAUGGCGUAAUGACUUGGGCACUGUCUCAACUGCAAAUCCGGCGAAGUUGUAGUGCGAGUGAAGAUGCUCGCUACCCGCGAUUGGACGGAAAGACCCCGUAGAGCUUUACUGUAGCUUAGCAUUGAAUUCCGGUAUUGUCUGUACAGGAUAGGUGGGAGACUGGGAAACUAGGGCGUCAGCCUUGGUGGAGUCGUCCUUGGGAUACCACCCUGACAGUACUGGGGUUCUAACAGGACGCCAUGAAUCUGGUGACUGGACAUUGUUAGGUGGGCAGUUUGACUGGGGCGGUCGCCUCCUAAAAAGUAACGGAGGCGCCCAAAGGUUCCCUCAGAACGGUCGGAAAUCGUUCGUAGAGUGCAAAGGCAGAAGGGAGCCUGACUGCGAGACCUACAAGUCGAGCAGGGACGAAAGUCGGGCUUAGUGAUCCGGUGGUACCUCGUGGGAGGGCCAUCGCUCAACGGAUAAAAGCUACCUCGGGGAUAACAGGCUGAUCUCCCCCAAGAGUCCACAUCGACGGGGAGGUUUGGCACCUCGAUGUCGGCUCGUCGCAUCCUGGGGCUGUAGUAGGUCCCAAGGGUUGGGCUGUUCGCCCAUUAAAGCGGCACGCGAGCUGGGUUCAGAACGUCGUGAGACAGUUCGGUCCCUAUCCGUCGCGGGCGUAGGAAAUUUGAGAGGAGCUGUCCUUAGUACGAGAGGACCGGGAUGGACUGGCCUCUGGUGCACCAGUUGUUCUGCCAAGAGCAUGGCUGGGUAGCUAAGUCGGGAAGGGAUAAACGCUGAAAGCAUCUAAGCGUGAAGCCUCCCUCAAGAUGAGAUUUCCCAUAGCAUAAGCUAGUAAGACCCCUUGAAGAACACGAGGUUGAUGGGUCAGAGGUGUAAGUGUGGUAACAUAUUUAGCUGACUGAUACUAAUAGGUCGAGGGCUUGAGC
Molecule: ribosomal RNA, 1372 nt
Filed under: metagenome
Description: bacterial LSU rRNA
Rfam family: Bacterial large subunit ribosomal RNA
Source: RNAcentral